Molecule: transfer RNA, 87 nt
Filed under: Candidatus Riesia pediculicola
Lineage: Bacteria; Pseudomonadati; Pseudomonadota; Gammaproteobacteria; Enterobacterales; Enterobacteriaceae
Also listed under: 1 other name
Description: tRNA-Leu
Rfam family: tRNA
About the family: Transfer RNA (tRNA) molecules are approximately 80 nucleotides in length. Their secondary structure includes four short double-helical elements and three loops (D, anti-codon, and T loops).
Source: RNAcentral
GCCCAGAUGGUGAAAUCGGUAUACACAAGGGACUUAAAAUCCCUUGACCUAAUUUUGGUCGUGCGGGUUCGAUCCCCGCUCUGGGUA